RNAcentral lists this ribosomal RNA (253 nucleotides) under uncultured bacterium. RNAcentral describes it as "partial 16S ribosomal RNA". It matches the Rfam family "Bacterial small subunit ribosomal RNA", at positions 524 to 776 of the family's 1533-position model. The record is from RNAcentral.
UAUGGGGGGGGCAAGCGUUGUUCGGAAUUACUGGGCGUAAAGGGCUCGUAGGUUGCCAACUAAGUCAGACGUGAAAUCCCUCAGCUUAACUGGGGAACUGCGUCUGAUACUGGAUGGCUUGAGUUUGGGAGAGGGAUGCGGAAUUCCAGGUGUAGCGGUGAAAUGCGUAGAUAUCUGGAGGAACACCGGUGGCGAAGGCGGCAUCCUGGACCAACACUGACACUGAGGAGCGAAAGCCAGGGGAGCAAACGGG